This 661-nucleotide unclassified non-coding RNA is filed under the name Hevea brasiliensis (rubber tree). The record is from RNAcentral. Lineage: Eukaryota; Viridiplantae; Streptophyta; Magnoliopsida; Malpighiales; Euphorbiaceae.
UUUUUUUUCAUUUCCAUCAUUUCUGAAAAUCGAAGAACCUAAUGGAUCGAACUCAUCCCUGGCUGCUAAUAAUGAAACAAAGACCUAUUAUGGAUGCCUCUCUUGCUGAACAGAAGGCUAGAUGAGAUGGGUUCUUUGUUCUGUUAUAAACUCAUCUACUGCUCAUUCGGUUUUCGAAUGAUUGAAUGGUAUUCAACAGCUCUUGGCCGAGCUCGCACUGUCGAUCGUCUUAUUUUAUUUAUUAUUUAUUAUAAGAGUUUGAUCGUCGAUCGUAUCUGAUUAUAAUGGAGCUUGACGUGGAAGGGGGGUCUGUGAGGACCAUAGUAGCAGAGUCUCCACACAACCGGAGAGACCACCUAUUUAUAUUUACAGCGUGAAAAGGUGACAGCGGAAGGGAAGAAAAGAAGUAGCAGAAUCUGUCGGCUUGCCACACAAUUGAUCCAGAGGAGAGUAUGCAGACAGACUUAUUUCUGAGAUGGAACUCAUCCCUCGACGCGGCAUUAUUUGAAAGCACACAACAUCGCCCAGAAGCUUAUAGCCCCUUAGGUCCAAUUCGAUGUGUUAAGUAUAGUGCCGUGGUUUUUCCAACGAGGGAGCGGUAUCCCAGCGGCUUAACGAAUUUGACACCGAAUUAAGUUAGGCUAAUGAAGAACCAGUUAGC